ACUCAAAGGAAUAGACGGGGGCCCGCACAAGCGGUGGAGCAUGUGGAUUAAUUCGACGCAACGCGAAGAACCUUACCAAGGCUUGACAUGGAGACGCAACGGUUGGAAACAGCUGCCCCUCUUCGGAGGCGUCUCACACAGGUGGUGCAUGGUUGUCGUCAGCUCGUGUCGUGAGAUGUUGGGUUAAGUCCCGCAACGAGCGCAACCCUUGUUUUCAGUUGCCAGCACUAACGGUGGGCACACUGGAGAGACUGCCGUUCUAAAACGGAGGAAGGUGGGGAUGACGUCAAAUCAUCAUGCCCCUUAAGUCUUGGGCUUCACACGUGCUACAAUGGUCCUAACAAAGUGAUGCAAAGCAGUGAUGCAGAGCGAACCACAAAAUGGGACCUCAGUUCGGAUUGUAGGCUGCAACUCGCCUGCAUGAAGUUGGAAUCGCUAGUAAUCGCGGAUCAGCAUGCCGCGGUGAAUACGUUCCCGGGCCUUGUACACACCGCCCGU
Molecule: ribosomal RNA, 498 nt
Filed under: uncultured bacterium
Lineage: Bacteria
Description: bacterial SSU rRNA
Rfam family: Bacterial small subunit ribosomal RNA
Source: RNAcentral